Molecule: transfer RNA, 58 nt
Filed under: Salmo salar (Atlantic salmon)
Lineage: Eukaryota; Metazoa; Chordata; Actinopteri; Salmoniformes; Salmonidae
Also listed under: 1 other name
Rfam family: tRNA
About the family: Transfer RNA (tRNA) molecules are approximately 80 nucleotides in length. Their secondary structure includes four short double-helical elements and three loops (D, anti-codon, and T loops). Further hydrogen bonds mediate the characteristic L-shaped molecular structure. tRNAs have two regions of fundamental functional importance: the anti-codon, which is responsible for specific mRNA codon recognition, and the 3' end, to which the tRNAs corresponding amino acid is attached (by aminoacyl-tRNA synthetases). tRNAs cope with the degeneracy of the genetic code in two manners: having more than one tRNA (with a specific anti-codon) for a particular amino acid; and 'wobble' base-pairing, i.e. permitting non-standard base-pairing at the 3rd anti-codon position.
Source: Rfam by way of RNAcentral
UAUCUCAGUUGGUAGAGCAUGGCGCUUGCAAUGCCAGGGUUGUGGGUUCGAUUCCCAC